This 953-nucleotide unclassified non-coding RNA is filed under the name Athalia rosae (coleseed sawfly). RNAcentral describes it as "misc RNA ENSAEAG00005003797.1". Lineage: Eukaryota; Metazoa; Arthropoda; Insecta; Hymenoptera; Athaliidae. The record is from RNAcentral.
AUUUUUAAAGUACCUGUUUCCCAAUCAUCCCUAUGUCCUUGAUACGUAAUCGAACUUUUAACAACGUAAAAACUCAAGUUAUCUAACGCCUUGUAUACGUUUGUUACACUUAUACGCCGGGAGUUCGCAAUAACCGUGUAAGGUGAAGUGAAAUAAGAGUGACUAUUCGAAGUAAUGUUGUGUCGAGCUGAUAUAUAACGAGGGAUUUGAUUCAAACACCUCGAAGAUUGAUAACAAAGUUCGUUGGAAAAUUCGAGAUUCUCGUUUCUACAGAUUAAAACAAUUUCCAUCUCGGAAUCAACGGGCAACGAGAACCGGGAUCUCGUUGCCUCGGCCGCCCAGGUCUCCGUGGAUCCGGAAAUCCCGACUUUAAAAGUACGUCGUCCUCAGAUUGGCAUGGGCAGCACAGAUUCCGGUGGAAACACCGCUGCCGGUCAAUCUUGUGGGCGGAGGCAUUCGCUAGGCGUCUUCACCACAGACUGACCACCCUGGGCGGAGACGAGGAUGAGCAAAAACUUCGCGGAGAUCAAACGCCGUCGGAAACGUCGUGGCUGCACUCUGGCGCGCCCACGGCAUCCCACAAUCAGGUCCUCGAACGGCAGCCCAGGCACAAUUCAGACUCCGACCUCUACUUCGACUUCGACAUCGACGAUGAUGACGUCCCUGGGUCCCCCGCGGAGGAGAUAUCGGUCGCCGAAUUGGCCGGACUUUUAUUGAACGGACCUCACAGAUCGGACGAUUGUCACUGUCCUUUGACCGCAAAGCCCAUCCCUUACAAUCAGGGACCGGAAUCAGGGUGCGUCUUUUCGUCGCCGGUGACGGGAACGUCACCCGAGAGCGAUUCCUCGGACGUUUAUUACGACCCGGAGAGUUCGGAGGCCGACAAGGUGACGGACUCUUUCUACGAUCUGGAUACAUCGGAAAGCGACGGCUCCAGUCUGAGCAACGGACUC